GACGACCAGUCACAUUGGGAGUGAGACACGGCCCAGACUCCUACGGGAGGCAGCAGUGGGGAAUCUUGGACAAUGGGGGCAACCCUGAUCCAGCGAUGCCGCGUGAGUGAAGAAGGCCUUCGGGUCGUAAAGCUCUUUAGGCUGGGAAGAAGGUAUAUUGGGGACAAUCCAGUAUAUUUGACGGUACCAGCAGAAUAAGCACCGGCAAACUCUGUGCCAGCAGCCGCGGUAAUACAGAGGGUGCGAACGUUAAUCGGAGUUACUGGGCGUAAAGGGCGCGUAGGCGGUUGUAUGUGUGUGGUGUGAAAGCCCCGGGCUUAACCUGGGAAGUGCAUCGCAAACUAUAUAACUAGAGUAGAUGAGAGGGUGGCGGAAUUUCCGGUGUAGCGGUGAAAUGCGUAGAGAUCGGAAGGAACGUCAAUGGCGAAGGCAGCCACCUGGCAUCAUACUGACGCUGAGGCGCGAAAGCGUGGGGAGCGAACAGGAUUAGAUACCCUGGUAGUCCACGCUGUAAACGAUGAGGACUAGAUGUUGGUAGGGGAACCUAUCGGUAUCGAAGCUAACGCGAUAAGUCUUCCGCCUGGGAAGUACGGCCGCAAGGUUGAAACUCAAAGGAAUUGACG
Molecule: ribosomal RNA, 623 nt
Filed under: uncultured Gammaproteobacteria bacterium
Lineage: Bacteria; Pseudomonadati; Pseudomonadota; Gammaproteobacteria
Description: SSU rRNA
Rfam family: Bacterial small subunit ribosomal RNA
Source: RNAcentral